This 446-nucleotide ribosomal RNA is filed under the name uncultured bacterium. RNAcentral describes it as "partial 16S ribosomal RNA". It matches the Rfam family "Bacterial small subunit ribosomal RNA", at positions 338 to 795 of the family's 1533-position model. The record is from RNAcentral.
CCUACGGGGGGCUGCAGUCGAGAAUCAUUCACAAUGGGGGAAACCCUGAUGGUGCGACGCCGCGUGGGGGAAUGAAGGUCUUCGGAUUGUAAACCCCUGUCAUGUGGGAGCAAAUUAAAAAGAUAGUACCACAAGAGGAAGAGACGGCUAACUCUGUGCCAGCAGCCGCGGUAAUACAGAGGUCUCAAGCGUUGUUCGGAAUCACUGGGCGUAAGGCGUGCGUAGGCUGUUUCGUAAGUCGUGUGUGAAAGGCGCGGGCUCAACCCGCGGACGGCACAUGAUACUGCGAGACUAGAGUAAUGGAGGGGGAACCGGAAUGCUCGGUGUAGCAGUGAAAUGCGUAGAUAUCGAGAGGAACACUCGUGGCGAAGGCGGGUUCCUGGACAUUAACUGACGCUGAGGCACGAAGGCCAGGGGAGCGAAAGGGAUUAGAUACCCUGGUAGUC